CAGUCGCCGCGGUAAUACGAGGGGGGCGAGCGUUGUUCGGAAUUAUUGGGCGUAAAGGGUGCGUAGGCGGUUCAGUAAGUCUUGUGUGAAAUCUUCGGGCUCAACUCGAAGUCUGCAUGAGAAACUGCUGGGCUUGAGUAUGGGAGAGGUGAGUGGAAUUCCCGGUGUAGCGGUGAAAUGCGUAGAGAUGUGGAGGAACACCAGUGGCGAAGGCGACUCUCUGGUCUGUAACUGACGCUGAGGAGCGAAAGCGUGGGGAGCGAACAGGAUUAGAUACCCCUGUAGUCCCUGUCUCUUAUAC
Molecule: ribosomal RNA, 301 nt
Filed under: uncultured bacterium
Lineage: Bacteria
Description: partial 16S ribosomal RNA
Rfam family: Bacterial small subunit ribosomal RNA
Source: RNAcentral